This 441-nucleotide ribosomal RNA is filed under the name uncultured bacterium. RNAcentral describes it as "partial 16S ribosomal RNA". It matches the Rfam family "Bacterial small subunit ribosomal RNA", at positions 339 to 795 of the family's 1533-position model. The record is from RNAcentral.
CUACGGGAUGCAGCAGUGGGGAAUAUUGGGCAAUGGGCGCAAGCCUGACCCAGCAACGCCGCGUGAGGGAAGAAGGUUUUCGGAUUGUAAACCUCUGUCCUUGGGGACGAAGAAGUGACGGUACCCAAGGAGGAAGCUCCGGCUAACUACGUGCCAGCAGCCGCGGUAAUACGUAGGGAGCAAGCGUUGUCCGGAAUUACUGGGCGUAAAGGGUGCGUAGGCGGCAUAUUAAGUCAGGUGUGAAAUACUCGGGCUCAACCCGAGGGGUGCAUUUGAAACUGAUAAGCUUGAGUGUGAGAGAGGAAAGUGGAAUUCCUAGUGUAGCGGUGGAAUGCGUAGAUAUUAGGAGGAACACCAGUGGCGAAGGCGACUUUCUGGCUCAUAACUGACGCUGAGGCACGAAAGCGUGGGGAGCAAACAGGAUUAGAUACCCUGGUAGUC